RNAcentral lists this ribosomal RNA (502 nucleotides) under uncultured bacterium. RNAcentral describes it as "bacterial SSU rRNA". It matches the Rfam family "Bacterial small subunit ribosomal RNA", at positions 33 to 507 of the family's 1533-position model. The record is from RNAcentral.
AACGACGCUGGCGGCGUGCCUAACACAUGCAAGUCGAGCGAGAAAGUCCCUUCGGGGGCGAGUAAAGCGGCGGACGGGUGAGUAAUACAUGGAUAAUCUUCCCUCGAGCCUGGGAUAACCCUGCGAAAGUGGGGCUAAUACCGGAUAAGACCACAUGACACAUGUCACGGGGUAGAAGGUGGCUUGUAUUUAUAUGAGCUAUCACUUGAGGAUGAGUCCAUGGCCUAUCAGCUAGUUGGUGAGGUAAGAGCUUACCAAGGCUAUGACGGGUAGCUGGUCUGAGAGGACGACUAGCCACACUGGGACUGAGACACGGCCCAGACUCCUACGGGAGGCAGCAGUGGGGAAUAUUGGGCAAUGGGCGAAAGCCUGACCCAGCGACGCCGCGUGGGUGAUGAAGGCCUUCGGGUUGUAAAACCCUUUCGUGCGGAAAGAAUAGUCUCGUAGCGAAUAACUAUGGGAUUUGACGGUACCGCAGGAAGAAGCACCGGCUAACUCCGUG